UGGGGAAUUUUGGACAAUGGGCGCAAGCCUGAUCCAGCAAUGCCGCGUGCAGGAUGAAGGCCUUCGGGUUGUAAACUGCUUUUGUACGGAGCGAAAAGGUCUGCCCUAAUACGGUGGGCUCAUGACGGUACCGUAAGCAUAAGCACCGGCUAACUACGUGCCAGCAGCCGCGGUAAUACGUCGGGUGCGAGCGUUAAUCGGAAUUACUGUGCGUAAAGCGUGCGCAGGCGGUUAUAUAAGACAGAUGUGAAAUUCCAGGGCUCAACCGUGGACCUGCAUUUGAUACUGUAGGGCUAGAGUACGGUAGAGGGAGGUGGAAUGCCGAGUGUAGCAGUGAAAUGCGUAGAUAUGAGGAAGAACACCGAUGGCGAAGGCAGUCCACUGGACCUGUACUGACGCUGAGGCACGAAAGCGUGGGGAGCAAACA
This 427-nucleotide ribosomal RNA is filed under the name uncultured bacterium. RNAcentral describes it as "bacterial SSU rRNA". It matches the Rfam family "Bacterial small subunit ribosomal RNA", at positions 355 to 774 of the family's 1533-position model. The record is from RNAcentral.